RNAcentral lists this long non-coding RNA (1418 nucleotides) under Sorghum bicolor (sorghum). Its description in RNAcentral is "long non-coding RNA (SBIC_LNC000757)". The record is from RNAcentral. Lineage: Eukaryota; Viridiplantae; Streptophyta; Magnoliopsida; Poales; Poaceae.
AGCAUGUUUAGUCCUUUAAUCUUUGUUCCUAGUACUACCUCCAUGAUCCCACACUCCUAAUUAUAUGAGCUAAAAUAUUGCACAUUCAAUCUUUGAGAGAUAUAAAGAAAAAGACAUAUACAUAGAUAGAUUAUCUUUCCAUAAGGUUGAGCGAUCUGAUCUGACAAAUGUUAUAAGUGCUAUACUCAUGAACUUAUCACCCAUCAACUUUUCCUUGCUCCCUAUGCUUAAGGAUAGAGAAGAAUAAAUAUACUUUUGGUUCUGUUGGUGUUUUCCACCAACAGGACCCAUGCACUUGAUCUGUGUCUUGUCUCUAUGAGCAGGACAUAAUGUGAGAAACAUGGAGGAUUUUUCAACUCCCAGACUCUACCAAGUGAAGGACUUGAUCUAGGAGCACAAACACACUGAGCAAGAUACUGCCAACGCCGCACUUUGAAUUGCUAGACAAACGAAGAACAUGGGUGACACCGUAUCAAGAGGUGCAGACGUCAAGGUCCACACCUGAAUCAAAUGACGCACCUAAAGAAUGAACACGGUGAGAAGUCUUGUUCAGAAGACUUAAAAUAUUGAACCCUUGCCGAAAGGUAAAAUCGGUAGUUAUCCAUAUUUAUCCUUUCUGCAUUCCUUUUUCCUUAAAUUAUUUACUUUCCUUAAAUAGCUUGUUAGUUGAUUAUGCUAUCUUGAAAAGAAAAUAAAAAAAUAUGUUAAAAAUAGUAAGCCCCAUGUGAGUAUGCUCGUGGCAUAAAACCCAUAAGUACAUUCACUGUGGUGGUGUAAAAAUAAAAUAAAUAUAUUCCUGUCCAAUAGAAAUGAAAAUAUAAAAAUAAAUUUAUGAUCCUACCAAAGAGAGUAAUAUCUAUUAGAGGAAGCUCAAUAUGAUAACGGCUAAGAGAUUUUAUGCUAACACUUAACCAGUUCCACAAAGCUUUGUUGUCUAUUUGAGCUCCGCAGAAUCCAAGAAUCAAAGAAGACUAGCAAACGGAGGACAUCCUAAUCGCUGUCUAGGUGCUGCCGACAUUCAAAUACACAUCCGCCACCUGCUAGCUACAUUAGAAGAAAUUACGUCAAAAUCCAGCUUGGGGGAGGGUACCCCCAUUUAUCCAACUAAGUGUUUCUACUCAUGUUUAUACUUUACUCGAAUAAUAAAAAGAUGCAUAAUCAUAAAAACCCAAAUAAAGAUUUUAUUCUUAUAUAUAUCUUUGCUUAGUUUGCUAAAUAAAUAAAUAAAUAAAGUUUGCUAUGAACCCUCAUGAUAAGCUCUCACAUGAAAAUGAUGAAUAGUUGCUCUGCCAGGACUAGUUCUCAAAAUUGAAUUCUCUCUCAAGUUUAGGCAUGACUGUUAUGAAUUAAUAUUUGCUCUAAACCUGAACUUGUGGGAAGAGUACUUGAUCUAAAGUCUAAGUCGUUAACGGAUACGA